UUAUAAAAUAUUGUUAAUGCCUGU
Molecule: non-coding RNA, 24 nt
Filed under: Cricetulus griseus (Chinese hamster)
Lineage: Eukaryota; Metazoa; Chordata; Mammalia; Rodentia; Cricetidae
Source: RNAcentral